Molecule: non-coding RNA, 21 nt
Filed under: Arabidopsis thaliana (thale cress)
Lineage: Eukaryota; Viridiplantae; Streptophyta; Magnoliopsida; Brassicales; Brassicaceae
Source: RNAcentral
UUCGGAGAGGACGGUGCGCCA